Molecule: ribosomal RNA, 254 nt
Filed under: uncultured Lactobacillus sp.
Lineage: Bacteria; Bacillati; Bacillota; Bacilli; Lactobacillales; Lactobacillaceae
Description: partial 16S ribosomal RNA
Rfam family: Bacterial small subunit ribosomal RNA
Source: RNAcentral
AGUAACACGUGGGGAACCUGCCCCAUAGUCUGGGAUACCACUUGGAAACAGGUGCUAAUACCGGAUAAGAAAGCGGAUCGCAUGAUCAGCUUUUAAAAGGCGGCGUAAGCUGUCGCUAUGGGAUGGCCCCGCGGUGCAUUAGCUAGUUGGUAAGGUAAAGGCUUACCAAGGCGAUGAUGCAUAGCCGAGUUGAGAGACUGAUCGGCCACAUUGGGACUGAGACACGGCCCAAACUCCUACGGGAGGCAGCAGGU